AUUGAACGCUGGCGGCAUGCCUUACACAUGCAAGUCGAACGGUAACAGGUCUUCGGAUGCUGACGAGUGGCGAACGGGUGAGUAAUACAUCGGAACGUGCCUAGUAGUGGGGGAUAACUACUCGAAAGAGUGGCUAAUACCGCAUGAGAUCUACGGAUGAAAGCAGGGGAUCGCAAGACCUUGUGCUACUAGAGCGGCCGAUGGAAGAUUAGGUAGUUGGUGGGAUAAAAGCUUACCAAGCCGACGAUCUGUAGCGGGUCUGAGAGGACGAUCAGCCACACUGGGACUGAGACACGGCCCAGACUCCUACGGGAGGCAGCAGUGGGGAAUUUUGGACAAUGGGCGCAAGCCUGAUCCAGCAAUGCCGCGUGCAGGAUGAAGGCCUUCGGGUUGUAAACUGCUUUUGUACGGAACGAAAAGCCCCGGGUUAAUACCCUGGGGUCAUGACGGUACCGUAAGAAUAAGCACCGGCUAACUACGUGCCAGCCGCCGCCGUAA
RNAcentral lists this ribosomal RNA (498 nucleotides) under uncultured bacterium. RNAcentral describes it as "partial 16S ribosomal RNA". It matches the Rfam family "Bacterial small subunit ribosomal RNA", at positions 30 to 523 of the family's 1533-position model. The record is from RNAcentral.